Molecule: ribosomal RNA, 2189 nt
Filed under: Escherichia coli O127:H6 str. E2348/69 substr. CVDNalr
Lineage: Bacteria; Pseudomonadati; Pseudomonadota; Gammaproteobacteria; Enterobacterales; Enterobacteriaceae
Description: bacterial LSU rRNA
Rfam family: Bacterial large subunit ribosomal RNA
Source: RNAcentral
AGCGUACACGGUGGAUGCCCUGGCAGUCAGAGGCGAUGAAGGACGUGCUAAUCUGCGAUAAGCGUCGGUGAGGUGAUAUGAACCGUUAUAACCGGCGAUUUCCGAAUGGGGAAACCCAGUGUGUUUCGACACACUAUCAUUAACUGAAUCCAUAGGUUAAUGAGGCGAACCGGGGGAACUGAAACAUCUAAGUACCCCGAGGAAAAGAAAUCAACCGAGAUUCCCCCAGUAGCGGCGAGCGAACGGGGAGGAGCCCAGAGCCUGAAUCAGUGUGUGUGUUAGUGGAAGCGUCUGGAAAGGCGCGCGAUACAGGGUGACAGCCCCGUACACAAAAAUGCACAUAUUGUGAGCUCGAUGAGUAGGGCGGGACACGUGGUAUCCUGUCUGAAUAUGGGGGGACCAUCCUCCAAGGCUAAAUACUCCUGACUGACCGAUAGUGAACCAGUACCGUGAGGGAAAGGCGAAAAGAACCCCGGCGAGGGGAGUGAAAAAGAACCUGAAACCGUGUACGUACAAGCAGUGGGAGCCUCUUAAUGGGGUGACUGCGUACCUUUUGUAUAAUGGGUCAGCGACUUAUAUUCUGUAGCAAGGUUAACCGAAUAGGGGAGCCGAAGGGAAACCGAGUCUUAACUGGGCGUUAAGUUGCAGGGUAUAGACCCGAAACCCGGUGAUCUAGCCAUGGGCAGGUUGAAGGUUGGGUAACACUAACUGGAGGACCGAACCGACUAAUGUUGAAAAAUUAGCGGAUGACUUGUGGCUGGGGGUGAAAGGCCAAUCAAACCGGGAGAUAGCUGGUUCUCCCCGAAAGCUAUUUAGGUAGCGCCUCGUGAAUUCAUCUCCGGGGGUAGAGCACUGUUUCGGCAAGGGGGUCAUCCCGACUUACCAACCCGAUGCAAACUGCGAAUACCGGAGAAUGUUAUCACGGGAGACACACGGCGGGUGCUAACGUCCGUCGUGAAGAGGGAAACAACCCAGACCGCCAGCUAAGGUCCCAAAGUCAUGGUUAAGUGGGAAACGAUGUGGGAAGGCCCAGACAGCCAGGAUGUUGGCUUAGAAGCAGCCAUCAUUUAAAGAAAGCGUAAUAGCUCACUGGUCGAGUCGGCCUGCGCGGAAGAUGUAACGGGGCUAAACCAUGCACCGAAGCUGCGGCAGCGACACUAUGUGUUGUUGGGUAGGGGAGCGUUCUGUAAGCCUGUGAAGGUGGCCUGUGAGGGUUGCUGGAGGUAUCAGAAGUGCGAAUGCUGACAUAAGUAACGAUAAAGCGGGUGAAAAGCCCGCUCGCCGGAAGACCAAGGGUUCCUGUCCAACGUUAAUCGGGGCAGGGUGAGUCGACCCCUAAGGCGAGGCCGAAAGGCGUAGUCGAUGGGAAACAGGUUAAUAUUCCUGUACUUGGUGUUACUGCGAAGGGGGGACGGAGAAGGCUAUGUUGGCCGGGCGACGGUUGUCCCGGUUUAAGCGUGUAGGCUGGUUUUCCAGGCAAAUCCGGAAAACCAAGGCUGAGGCGUGAUGACGAGGCACUACGGUGCUGAAGCGACAAAUGCCCUGCUUCCAGGAAAAGCCUCUAAGCAUCAGGUAACAUCAAAUCGUACCCCAAACCGACACAGGUGGUCAGGUAGAGAAUACCAAGGCGCUUGAGAGAACUCGGGUGAAGGAACUAGGCAAAAUGGUGCCGUAACUUCGGGAGAAGGCACGCUGAUAUGUAGGUGAAGCGACUUGCUCGUGGAGCUGAAAUCAGUCGAAGAUACCAGCUGGCUGCAACUGUUUAUUAAAAACACAGCACUGUGCAAACACGAAAGUGGACGUAUACGGUGUGACGCCUGCCCGGUGCCGGAAGGUUAAUUGAUGGGGUUAGCGGUAACGCGAAGCUCUUGAUCGAAGCCCCGGUAAACGGCGGCCGUAACUAUAACGGUCCUAAGGUAGCGAAAUUCCUUGUCGGGUAAGUUCCGACCUGCACGAAUGGCGUAAUGAUGGCCAGGCUGUCUCCACCCGAGACUCAGUGAAAUUGAACUCGCUGUGAAGAUGCAGUGUACCCGCGGCAAGACGGAAAGACCCCGUGAACCUUUACUAUAGCUUGACACUGAACAUUGAGCCUUGAUGUGUAGGAUAGGUGGGAGGCUUUGAAGUGUGGACGCCAGUCUGCAUGGAGCCGGCCUUGAAAUACCACCCUUUAAUGUUUGAUGUUCUAACGU